ACACCUCAACUCUCAUGGCUUGCCAUGAUGAGCUUGGACCUUGGGGGUCUUGCUGGCACGUGCAGGUCAGCUCCUCUCAAAUGAAUCAGCUUGCCGGUGUUUGGUGGCGUCACAGGUGUGAUAAACAUCUACGCUUGUGGCUUUCCGCCAGGUAACCUUCAGCAAUGGAGGUUCACUGGAGCUCAUAAACGUCUCUCCUCGGUGAGGACAGAUUUUGACC
RNAcentral lists this unclassified non-coding RNA (220 nucleotides) under uncultured Tomentella. RNAcentral's name for it is "sequence contains ITS2". Lineage: Eukaryota; Fungi; Basidiomycota; Agaricomycetes; Thelephorales; Thelephoraceae. The record is from RNAcentral.